This is a microRNA precursor of Scleropages formosus (Asian bonytongue), 70 nucleotides long. It matches the Rfam family "mir-10 microRNA precursor family". From Rfam's summary of the family: In this case the mature sequence comes from the 5' arm of the precursor. The extents of the hairpin precursors are not generally known and are estimated based on hairpin prediction. The record is from Rfam. Lineage: Eukaryota; Metazoa; Chordata; Actinopteri; Osteoglossiformes; Osteoglossidae.
UGCCACAAACCCGUAGAUCCGAACUUGUGGCGACUGGCCACACAAGCUCGCGUCUACAGGUGUGUGUCUU